RNAcentral lists this ribosomal RNA (750 nucleotides) under uncultured bacterium. Its description in RNAcentral is "bacterial SSU rRNA". It matches the Rfam family "Bacterial small subunit ribosomal RNA", at positions 43 to 783 of the family's 1533-position model. The record is from RNAcentral.
CAGGCCUAACACAUGCAAGUCGAGCGGACCAUUCCUUCGGGGAUGGUUAGCGGCGGACGGGUGAGUAACACGUAGGCAACCUGCCUGUAAGAUCGGGAUAACUACCGGAAACGGUAGCUAAGACCGGAUAGCUGGUUUCUCCGCAUGGGGGAAUCAUGAAACACGGGGCAACCUGUGGCUUACGGAUGGGCCUGCGGCGCAUUAGCUAGUUGGUGGGGUAACGGCCCACCAAGGCGACGAUGCGUAGCCGACCUGAGAGGGUGAUCGGCCACACUGGGACUGAGACACGGCCCAGACUCCUACGGGAGGCAGCAGUAGGGAAUCUUCCGCAAUGGGCGCAAGCCUGACGGAGCAACGCGGCGUGAGUGAUGAAGGUUUUCGGAUCGUAAAGCUCUGUUGCCAAGGAAGAACGCCUCGGAGAGUAACUGCUCUGAGGGUGACGGUACUUGAGAAGAAAGCCCCGGCUAACUACGUGCCAGCAGCCGCGGUAAUACGUAGGGGGCAAGCGUUGUCCGGAAUUAUUGGGCGUAAAGCGCGCGCAGGCGGUCUUUUAAGUUUGGUGUUUAAGCCCGGGGCUCAACCCCGGUUCGCACUGAAAACUGGGAGACUUGAGUGCAGGAGAGGAAAGCGGAAUUCCACGUGUAGCGGUGAAAUGCGUAGAGAUGUGGAGGAACACCAGUGGCGAAGGCGGCUUUCUGGACUGUAACUGACGCUGAGGCGCGAAAGCGUGGGGAGCAAACAGGAUUAGAU